CAAUAAGUCCAGCAUAGCCCAAAGACACAUAAACUAAUGAAAAUUAUUAACCCACUUGCUGCUGUCUUAACAUAUGCCAGGUACAAAACAAACAUCCUGCAGUUUCAAGGCAGUUUAUUUUGGUCCUAGGAAGCAUGUUAUGUAUCUCACUUCCCAGGAAGACAAUGCAGUUCUGUGACAUGAUGUUACAGUACAGAUGGAGUACUGGUUCAUUGCAUAAUGGUCUGGUGUUGGAGAAUUCAAACAUGAGCUGUCUCUAUAGAUUGGAAAUGCCUGUCUUGCACCAUUUCCAGAAUAUGGAGUUCUGAGGUGUCCAAGACACACUGUUCUGCUUUUAAUCAGGCCAAACACAUAUAAAUGUAGCCAUUUUAAGGAAUGCAACCUGAUGACUUGCCAGAGUCUGCACUGUAAUCUAUGCACCUUUCUUGGUGCUGUGUCAUCUCAAGAAUUAUCUAAAAAUACUACCUUAACUGUACUUACUAGUAAGUCACUGGGAACAGAACAGACUUCCAGUUUUAGGAUGAAGCUUUUGUGACCAAUCUCUCAGGAAAAGUUGGGAACAAGAGAUCUUUGUUUCCUGACCUGACCAGUUUUACCAUUGCUAUUCCUCACCCACUACUCCAAAGGCACCAUUCUCUCAUGGAGAGUCAUGCUCAGUGAGGGAAAAGCUGCAUUUAAUCAAGCUCAUGUUCAGCAAGUUAAAAGCUUUGAAGAAUAAGACUGAAGCUGGGUAGGAAAUUAUUUUUCAUUCCUGGAUAUUCUUAUUAUACUAGUAAUUGUUAUCUAAACAAAAAUUAGUAAUGUGAUGCCAUUGCAAAGUGAUAAUUUUCUGGGGUGUCUACCCUGUGAAAGUCACAGGAGGUAAUUCUUUGAUUACAUUUCUCAAGCUUUGGGAGUAGACUGAAGUAUGUAGGCUUCAAGAAUUCACAGGCAGACUGAAGAGAUUUUUGCUCAUGAAGAAUGUUAAAAGGAAAAAGGUUUGUUUAGGUAAGAGCAGGCAGAAGGAGAACAUAAUACAUUUGUUCUUUUCCUUACCUUUGUUUAUCUAUUUUUUCCUAGUUUAAAUCAAUCACAAGCAAUGCCUUAAGUUUUCAGUUUCUCUGUUCUUUGGUGUGUGGCUUUUUAUCCAGGGUUACUAGGAUCUUUUCACAGGGUGAAGACACAACAAUUCUAUUCCACUUGGGGACUCAAGGACAAUUUUUUCAAACUUCAGGCUCGAAGUAUAAACAACGUGAAAAGGAGGGCAGGGAAGCAAGACUCCUGUAUGCAGAUGGACUGAAACAUAUAAAAAUGUGAGAUCUCGUGGCUAGGUUCUCCUUUUGCUUCCAUCUUGGACCCCUCCAGACAGAGCCCCAGUUGUAGCACUGGUACGGCCUGGGUGUGGACUUUAAAGGCCUCAGUAAAUAUUCUUUAUUCCUCUUAACCCUGCCUAGUCUCUGUUCCAUCUCCUCAAGGAAUCAAAGGCAUUGUGACUUCUAGGACUUAUUCCACCUGAGGCAUCUGGAAGCACUAGCUGCCAGACUGUCCUUUUCCUGGGCUCCAGCAGCAGCAAUGGCAGCAGCAUCCUUGCUGGUAAUUUGACCAGAGACUGGAAAGAAGUAGGCAGCUCCUUUUGGAGGCAGUGGAAAUGGGGCUUGAACAUUAGAAUAAAUAUUAGAAUAAACUCCCUGAACCUAGUAAA
Molecule: long non-coding RNA, 1681 nt
Filed under: Cyanistes caeruleus (blue tit)
Lineage: Eukaryota; Metazoa; Chordata; Aves; Passeriformes; Paridae
Description: lncRNA (ENSCCEG00000017582.1)
Source: RNAcentral